UGCAGUGAGCCGAUAUUGCACCACUGCAUUCCAGCCUGGCUGACAGAGCAAGGCCCUGUCUUAAACAAAUAAACCAACCUAGGCUUGUUCUAUUUUUCUGCUCUUUAUCCUUCUCAUCCUUAGGCUAUCAUAUCUCAUGACUGUGGUAACUUCAAGUAUUACAUCAUCACACAACUGUUCAAGCCUGGAUGAAAGCAUGGACCAGUAACAAACAGUUUGAAGACCAGGCUGAGUUCAUGAUCACACUUGAGAGGCACUGUUAACUCCGCUGACUCCAUAAGCUGUCCGCAGCCUGCCUCACCUGCCUCUUGUCUGCUGCUCCUUUUGAUUCACCUACAACAAGGUGUUCUCUGUAUGAAUAUGCCACGUAUUUUGUUUUACUUCUGGAAUUGACAUUAUAAUCUGUUCUUUCUUCCUGGAAUGCUCUCCUCUAGCUGGGGAACACCUACUCAUCUUUUUAGACCAGCUUAAAAGUCACCUUCCCUAUGAUGUUUUCUUGUGAAAAAAAUAUUUUUUUAAGAGACAGGGGUCUCCCUAUGUUGCCUAGGCUGUUCUCAAACUCCUGGGCACAAGUGAUCUUCCCACCUCAGCCUCCCAAAGUACUAGGAUUACAGACAUGAGCCAUCAUGCCCCCAACCUCGUGAAUUUUAGUUAGGUUAUAGCAGUAUAGCAAAAGUCCCUAUGGAUUGAAUUAUUUGCUCUCUCAUCAGUGUUUUUUCUUUGAAUCCUAGGUACACUUAUUUUAUUGGAUUGCAGUUUCUGGGUCAGUAUCCCAGAAUAGACUGAAAGUUUAUUGAAGUGAUAAUUGUCUUCUUCAUCUUUAUAUCCCCUGUUCUUGGAACACAUAGUUUGUCCUGAAUAAAUGCCUGUUGAAUUGAA
Sapajus apella (tufted capuchin) is the source of this 879-nucleotide long non-coding RNA. RefSeq lists it as uncharacterized. The transcript is spliced from 2 exons. The record is from RefSeq and is a predicted model, not a curated record. NCBI's taxonomy places the organism in Eukaryota, Metazoa, Chordata, Mammalia, Primates, Cebidae.